Molecule: long non-coding RNA, 3089 nt
Organism: Alexandromys fortis (reed vole)
Lineage: Eukaryota; Metazoa; Chordata; Mammalia; Rodentia; Cricetidae
Exons: 3
Source: RefSeq, a predicted model, not a curated record
UUCACAGACCUUCUUUCUAAGGCAGGUUUCCCUGUGAACAGUGUCUCCUCAGUGAGACCACAGCGCCCUGUAUAGAAUGGUGCUUUCUGGGGCUGGAGAGAUGGCUCAGUGGUAAGCCCACUCUCAAGGCAGGAAUUCAGAGGACCUGAACUUGAAUCCACAUAGAAGCCAGGCGGGCACCCCAGACUGCCUCUGAGUCGAUCUGGCACAAACCUGAUGCAUGGCAGUGAGUCAUGCCCUCGCCUUGUCUCCGAGUCUCCUUUCCCAUAGUGCCACCACCACAGCCACCCUAAGGACACUUCAGAUUUGCAGUGAGCAAAGUCCCUGCUCCUAGGAGGAUGUGCAGGUGUGUGAGGUCAGGAGCACAGCUGGCUAGGGGGAGGAGCACACUGGGAGGAGCAUGGCUGGCUAGGGGGAGGAGCACACUGGGAGGAGCAGGGCUGGCUAGGAGGAGGAGCACACUGGGAGGAGCAUGGCUGGCUAGGGGAGGAGCACACUGGGAUGGGUGACCAUGGCUGCUGAUGUGGCUCCCACACUCCCAGCCUGCUGACCGUGGGCUGCUCAGGUGUGCUUAUCUUUCAGCCCAGACAGGGGUAACUGUUCUCUGGGGAUGGAGCUGUGGAAGAGGCAAGAGCUCUCAGUUCCUUAAGAAUAAUCAGUCUAGGCGCUGUGCCAUGAGCCUCGUCCCUCUGGUGCUGGAGUGCCACCUCCAUCUGUUCUCCUGGAACUCCACACCUAUGCUCCCAAGAGUGGCAAUAAACUCGGUGCUUCCCAGGGCUGGAGGCGAUGGUCCUCUCCGUGCCGCGAGAAGAAAAGGCACAGGUUGGAGAGAUGGCUCAGUGGGCAAAGAUACGUCCUUCUGGGCCUGAUGAGCUGAGUUCAAUCCUGGGGGACCGAUCUACAUGGUGGAAGGAGAGAACUGACUUCCACAAGGCCUCUUCCUCUGGUCUCCACGUUUGUGCUUUGCAUCCCUCCCAGUAACUAAAAACGUAAUUAAAAACUUUUUAAAAAUUGUCAUCUGCUUCCUUUAUAAUUGCCGAAAAGCCUGCCUUUCAUUGAGGUUAGGACAAGUUUCCUUAUACAGGCCUGAAUCCUGAUAUCUAAGGACCCAUGUGCAGUACAGUUUUAGGUAGCCUGUGUGUAUUAAUACACUACGACAUCUAAUUCUUCCACAGGGAAGAGCAUCAACCAUUCAUCCCCACACCAACAAGUACUGCUUGGAUAUCCUUUGCCAGUUCAAGGUGUCUCACACCUGCCAUAUAGGGAGAGAAUGUUAAACUGGGUGACUUCUGCUCCUGUAUAUAUACUUUAAAGAGAAAUGUAUCUUGUACGAAAUAAAUGAACCUCUCCUCUACAUGCUAUCGAAGCUAUUUUUUUUACUUUUAUUUUUCAGACUUUCCAGGCUAGCGCAGAAAUCCUGCCUUUAUUUGAACUAUUGUUUUUAUUACAAAAGGUGUUAUAGCUUCCAAAAAGCCAAAUUAAACAUUUUGAGAACACCGACCACAGCUGAUAGAAGUCAGUCAUUGGUUUGCUGACAAUAAAUAUGUAAAUAGUUAAUGAAGGUUCCUUCCUACAAGUUUCUCCUGUGAGCGCAGGGCCCAGGUAGGGUGUACUAGAAAAUGCGCACACAUGGCUCAUGAGACGGCUCACCUGUAAGGGCCCUGAUGCCAAGACUCACUUCACUGCCUGAGUUCAAGCCCUGGACCCACCACAGGAGAAAACUGACUCCUCAAGUUGUCCUCCAGCAUCCACACGAAUGCCACAGCGUGAGUGCCGACAUACAUGCAUAAAUAAAUAGAAAAAUGUGAUAAAACAAAGAAAACAUACCAAACGUGAAAGCAGAUGGACAAACAUUCUAAAAUUCUUGCUCGUGAUUAAGAACUUUAAAAAAAUGGACCCCUGGGGAAAGUAACACACCGGGACCUAUGGUAGAACUCUAAGACAACAUGUCCUAGGAACUCUCCUUUGAAACCACAGGCUGCAGACCUGGGCCAGGCUGUGCCGUACGUCCACAGCUUGCAAGAUUCAGAGAUAGCUGAGUGGCUUCGUCAAGACUCCCUGGAGUCUAGUGAGAUCUGCAUGAGAUAAAGGCGGGCACACGCUCAGGUUCAAGGUCUAUGUGGGCUGAUGUGGCUCUGGAUAGACUGCCUUUGCGAGCAAGGGACUAGUUAACACACCCAAACCCCACUCUUCUGCACCCUUUGGACAAGGCAGGGGACCUGCAGCAGUGCUGUCUGAUGGCAAUGGGUGGACAGCAACUACAAUGAGCAGCUGGCCUGGGAAGGGGCCAGAGCGAUCUACCACACCACAAAUGCUGUGCUAAUUCCAGGACCCGCAUUCCACCAUCCUCAUUUCAUUUAGAUCCCCCAGCUCCUGAGAAAGGAAGUGGAUUACUGAGACGUGUCCUUUUAUUUUCCCAUCUGUAUCAACAGGAGCAUCCUGCCAUAGGUCUUAGUGAGGAUGGGGUUCCAGAGCUGUUGGAGGGCCCUGCAGGCUAGAAGGGUUGGGCCAUGGUGGGAUCCCAACAGGUCAGAUGACCCAGCACCAAGAACACAGCAAAGGAAGCCAUUACUGGAGUGCUGGCAGCAGGUGAAGGCCAGGGGAGGGAGGGGCUCCAGGGCUACACUUUAAAGGGUGGUCAGCAAGCUGAUAGAGAGCCAGGCGGUUUGAGGGUGACCUGUAGAACAGGGUAUUGAGUGAAGUUGGGGGACAGAUUAUGCCUUGGAGGUCUCCCUGCCUCGGCUACUCCCUGCCUCUAGUUGGGUGAAGAGGACACUAGCCCCUAAUCCCAGCUGCUUCCAGGAGCCCAGUCUGGGAAGGUCUAGAAGAUGCAGUCAACAAAGGCAAGGGACAUGCAUGUCCAACUGAGAGGAGGAGCCCUGUGCCUGCUGAUGUUUGACACUCAUAGAUGCACGUGUAUGGAUGUAGAUGCAUACAGAUACACUCAAAAAACCAUCCUGUCCCCAGCCCCGUCACAAGCAUAUAUACACACACAGUUACACACAUCAACACAUACAGACCUUCUCAGUCAUGCAGACAUGCCGAGAUACAGACAACCACACACAUACACACCUCUUCUCCGCUCCUCG